AGAGUUUGAUCAUGGCUCAGAUUGAACGCUGGCGGCAGGCCUAACACAUGCAAGUCGAACGGUAACAGGAAACAGCUUGCUGUUUCGCUGACGAGUGGCGGACGGGUGAGUAAUGUCUGGGAAACUGCCUGAUGGAGGGGGAUAACUACUGGAAACGGUAGCUAAUACCGCAUAACGUCGCAAGACCAAAGAGGGGGACCCUCGGGCCUCUUGCCAUCGGAUGUGCCCAGAUGGGAUUAGCUUGUUGGUGGGGUAACGGCUCACCAAGGCGACGAUCCCUAGCUGGUCUGAGAGGAUGACCAGCCACACUGGAACUGAGACACGGUCCAGACUCCUACGGGAGGCAGCAGUGGGGAAUAUUGCACAAUGGGCGCAAGCCUGAUGCAGCCAUGCCGCGUGUAUGAAGAAGGCCUUCGGGUUGUAAAGUACUUUCAGCGGGAGGAAGGGAGUAAAGUUAAUACCUUUGCUCAUUGACGUUACCCGCAGAAGAAGCACCGGCUAACUCCGUGCCAGCAGCCGCGGUAAUACGGUGGGUGCAAGCGUUAAUCGGAAUUACUGGGCGUAAAGCGCACGCAGGCGGUUUGUUAAGUCAGAUGUGAAAUCCCCGGGCUCAACCUGGGAACUGCAUCUGAUACUGGCAAGCUUGAGUCUCGUAGAGGGGGGUAGAAUUCCAGGUGUAGCGGUGAAAUGCGUAGAGAUCUGGAAGAAUACCGGUGGCGAAGGCGGCCCCCUGGACGAAGACUGACGCUCAGGUGCGAAAGCGUGGGGAGCAAACAGGAUUAGAUACCCUGGUAGUCCACGCCGUAAACGAUGUCGACUUGGAGGUUGUGCCCUUGAGGCGUGGCUUCCGGAGCUAACGCGUUAAGUCGACCGCCUGGGGAGUACGGCCGCAAGGUUAAAACUCAAAUGAAUUGACGGGGGCCCGCACAAGCGGUGGAGCAUGUGGUUUAAUUCGAUGCAACGCGAAGAACCUUACCUGGUCUUGACAUCCACGGAAGUUUUCAGAGAUGAGAAUGUGCCUUCGGGAACCGUGAGACAGGUGCUGCAUGGCUGUCGUCAGCUCGUGUUGUGAAAUGUUGGGUUAAGUCCCGCAACGAGCGCAACCCUUAUCCUUUGUUGCCAGCGGUCCGGCCGGGAACUCAAAGGAGACUGCCAGUGAUAAACUGGAGGAAGGUGGGGAUGACGUCAAGUCAUCAUGGCCCUUACGACCAGGGCUACACACGUGCUACAAUGGCGCAUACAAAGAGAAGCGACCUCGCGAGAGCAAGCGGACCUCAUAAAGUGCGUCGUAGUCCGGAUUGGAGUCUGCAACUCGACUCCAUGAAGUCGGAAUCGCUAGUAAUCGUGGAUCAGAAUGCCACGGUGAAUACGUUCCCGGGCCUUGUACACACCGCCCGUCACACCAUGGGAGUGGGUUGCAAAAGAAGUAGGUAGCUUAACCUUCGGGAGGGCGCUUACCACUUUGUGAUUCAUGACUGGGGUGAAGUCGUAACAAGGUAACCGUAGGGGAACCUGCGGUUG
Molecule: ribosomal RNA, 1521 nt
Filed under: metagenome
Description: bacterial SSU rRNA
Rfam family: Bacterial small subunit ribosomal RNA
Source: RNAcentral